GAUGAACGCUGGCGGCGUGCUUAAUACAUGCAAGUCGAGCGAACAGACGAGGAGUUUGCUCCUUUCUCGAUAGGGGCGCACGGGUGUGUCACACGUGGAUACUGCACUUAUCAUUCUGGGAUCAUUUCGGGAAUCGGGCUCAAAUCCCGUAUAAGCUCCUGCACCACAGGGUUCAUUGGAGAAAUUCGGCUUUUCUGUAUCUUCUCGCGGGGUAUUAGCUGGUUGGUAUGGUAACGGCCUACCAGGCCUACGAAGGGUAGCCGACGUGAGAGGGUGAUCGGCCACACUGGAACUGAGACGCGGACCAGACUCCUACGGGAGGCAGCAGUAGGGAAUCGUCCGCAAAGGGCGAAAGCCUGACGGAGCAAGGCCGCGUGAGUGAUGAAGGUCUUCGGAUCGUAAAACUCUGUUAUUAGGGAAGAACAAAUGUGGAAGUAACUAUGCACGUCUUGACGGUACCUAAUCAGAAAGCCACGGCUAACUACGUG
This 488-nucleotide ribosomal RNA is filed under the name uncultured bacterium. RNAcentral's name for it is "partial 16S ribosomal RNA". It matches the Rfam family "Bacterial small subunit ribosomal RNA", at positions 28 to 507 of the family's 1533-position model. The record is from RNAcentral.